GCUUGAUCAGCAAUCAAUUUAAAUUGAAUGAGUCUACGUCUGUCUGUUGGGAUGGUUACCCUGCAAGAGGUGUGGGACAGGAGUGCACUCACCAUAGGGUAUUUUGCCUUCUGGAUAUGCUCACUAAGUCUCCCUCUGUGGACAAGCCCAGAAAACUGCAAAGAGCUGGUAACUACGGAUGAUCCUUCUCUAGACGGGAUUUCGAAGACUAAAGGGGAUGUCACUAGAGAUGGAGAAACCUUCAUUCAUGCACAGUUGCAGCUCAAGAGCAAGAUAUCACUCCUGUGGAUGUUGAAGGAAUGGAAGAACGCACAGUGUUCCCUUGUGACAAACCUUCAUCAAGUGCAUGUGCUCUUUCAGUUUGCCCAUUGAGGAGUGCUGAGGGUCAGGCUUUUCACCUGACCACAUAGUGUUUGAUGAUUUGUAGCACUGGGAGCUACAAGAGGCCCCAGAAAGGAGAUAAAUCCAUUAGAGCCAUCUUGGUUAGCAGAUUUUGCUGGGUAGCAGAAACAUCAGAAACAUCACAGCAAUUUGUUCCUGUCUGAAACCAGCAUCCUCUUCUUUUUUCACAGACCUCAGAGCCAGGCUGGUGAAACUCCCCAAAUGGUGACUCACAUGUUACUGAAUAACACAAUAAACACCCUGAAGGCUACUGCGCACAGAUUUAUUUGUCUUAAUGCAACUAUAAACGUGAAGAUGGAUUACCAACAUAAUAUAUCUAUGAAGGAAGUUUAGUAAUAAAUAAGGACUUCUGAUUUGAAACAACACUCUGCAGAGUAACUAGAGGGAGUUUCCUCCUGCUCUAGCAGCUAAGAAAUAGGUAUCUAAAUACAUAUAUAGAUAUAUAUACCAUACUAUGCGGAAAAAAAUUGAGAUCAUAUUGGACAAAUACAUAACCAGUGAGAGAAAAUCUAUAGUCAUGGCAUUAGCUCUGCAAUACCAGCUCAUCAUCAGCUUCAGGUUGUGAGCUGUGUCUUCAACUCAUCUUCAUGAUUGCUUUAAGAGUUCUCAUGGUCUUCCCAGAAAGAUGAGUCUUCGCACACCUGCAGCUGUCCACGUGCCCCAGGUGGACCAGCUGAUGUUGGCAAUGAUGAUGAGCUACAGACAGACUGGAAGCCAAGGAUCUGCUUUCUUAGACGAUGAAGGAGCCAGGCAGCAGCACUGCAGGAAUGCCAGUGCCUUGUCUGAUGUCUCACAGUAAGACACAAGAAAGAGAAUUCUGUGGAGGCUCCUUUUUCAGCUGAUCACCAGUGAGCAGACAGGUUAUUGCAGGCUUCAUCUUGCCAAGAUCCUCUGAGAAGAGAAUCUCAUUCCACCAAGAACUUUGCCAGGUAAAGUCUGUAGGGACAGAGGGACAGAAGCUCACUAUUCUGUGCCUGUUUGCCAAGGUGUUUACAGCCUUGCAGGGGCAUGCGAAAGAAGAGGUGCUCAUAGUGCAGAAGCUUACCUUUGUCUUCUACAUAUGAGACAUCCCACUGGAUGUAGCUCUGCUCCUCACACAUUUCAGAACCUGCUACGUGAAACAAAUCUCUUGUAUGUAAGCCUCAUGAAUACCUUGGAUGUACCUAUGCAAUCAAACAUGGUGCUUCAUAUUUUUGUAAGGCUGCAUACUGUAAACCUUACUUUUUUGUGCUUUUAUGUAGUUAUUGUCUUCUAGAUCAAGAAGCCAUCAUAGUUUGAGGAAAGUUUCUUGGAGUGAGAUUACAGCUGGCCUUGAAGGUUUAUUUAAGUGACUAUUCAUAAUUCUGUCAGAAUAAGAAAUCGGACUGAUCUUUCACACUUUGUGGAGAUUUCAUUUAGUUUAUCCUUGAGAAAGACUCUCCUGAUGGUAGAGGCUAUUCACAGAUGUUGGAACACUUUACUGUCUUUGUGAAUAAGGGUAAAAACAUUUGAGCUCUUCCCUGCUCUAGAGUAAGGCUCAUAAGCAGCUGUUGUUUUCUGUACAUUGGGUUUAUUUAAUAUGUACAGAGUAAAAACACAUCUAGCUCUCUGCCUCUGGUUUCUGUGUGGAAGUGUGGGAGCUAACCUGAACAUAAUGUAACUUGGUUUAUGAAGGACAGUCCCACAGAUCUGAUUCAAAUACCUCUCAGUUAUAUGAUCCUUACAGAGCAGCUGGUGGUCAUGCUUGUUUCUUUGAGUGACUUUAAGAGCUGAAAUAUGAAUAUUGCCCUACACAUACUGCAGUUAUUUCUUCAGAAUCAAUUGCCAUGUUCUCUUGUUAUUUCUGUGCUGCUUGAUAUUGUAAUCCAUGUUUUGUUCACCUGCCUUGUAUUCUUGGACCUACUUUCAUAUAUCUGUUGCAGUAAACCUGCUUUUCCAAACUUCCCUUAGAAAACUAGGAGAAUUUGUCCUUGUUCCCCAACGUAGGCUUUUGAGCUGGAAAGCAAGCCAGAAAAAAACUACACGUAGAACAAUAUGUUCUACUUUUGUCAAACAGAAUAGGAAAAGCUGCAGAGCUCUGGUGAUUUUGUUGGUGGGGAUAUUUUGUUUGUUUGUGUUGGGUUUGGUAUUUUUUGCUUAUUUUUAGGUGACUA
This is a long non-coding RNA of Passer domesticus (house sparrow), 2534 nucleotides long. RefSeq lists it as uncharacterized. NCBI's taxonomy places the organism in Eukaryota, Metazoa, Chordata, Aves, Passeriformes, Passeridae. The record is from RefSeq and is a predicted model, not a curated record. The transcript has 5 exons.